GAUGAAGAACGCAGCGAAAUGCGAUAAGUAAUGUGAAUUGCAGAAUUCAGUGAAUCAUCGAAUCUUUGAACGCACAUUGCGCCCGCCAGUAUUCUGGCGAGCAUGCCUGUCCGAGCGUCAUUUCAACCCUCGAACCCCUCCGGGGGGUCGGCGUUGGGGAUCGGCCCUGCCUUUGGCGGUGGCCGUCUCCGAAAUACAGUGGCGGUCUCGCCGCAGCCUCUCCUGCGCAGUAGUUUGCACACUCGCAUCGGGAGCGCGGCGCGUCCACAGCCGUUAAACACCCAACUUCUGAAAUGUUGACCUCGGAUCAGGUAGGAAUACCCGCUGAACUUAAGCAUAUCAAUAAGCGGAGGA
RNAcentral lists this unclassified non-coding RNA (354 nucleotides) under soil metagenome. RNAcentral describes it as "partial contains 5.8S ribosomal RNA, internal transcribed spacer 2, and large subunit ribosomal RNA". The stretch from base 1 to 120 matches the Rfam family "5.8S ribosomal RNA", at positions 35 to 154 of the family's 154-position model. The record is from RNAcentral.